AGGGUUCGAUUAUGGCUCAGGACGAACGCUGGCGGCGUGCUUAACACAUGCAAGUCGAACGGAGCACCCCUGACGGAGAUUUCGGUCAACUGAAGGGAAUGCUUAGUGGCGGACGGGUGAGUAACGCGUGAGUAACCUGCCUUUCAGAGGGGGACAACAGUUGGAAACGACUGCUAAUACCGCAUGACAUAUGAUCGGGGCAUCCCGGACAUAUCAAAGAUUUAUCGCUGAAAGAUGGACUCGCGUCUGAUUAGCUGGUUGGCGGGGUAACGGCCCACCAAGGCGACGAUCAGUAGCCGGACUGAGAGGUUGAACGGCCACAUUGGGACUGAGAUACGGCCCAG
This 344-nucleotide ribosomal RNA is filed under the name uncultured bacterium. Its description in RNAcentral is "bacterial SSU rRNA". It matches the Rfam family "Bacterial small subunit ribosomal RNA", at positions 8 to 334 of the family's 1533-position model. The record is from RNAcentral.